Molecule: ribosomal RNA, 801 nt
Filed under: Triticum aestivum (bread wheat)
Lineage: Eukaryota; Viridiplantae; Streptophyta; Magnoliopsida; Poales; Poaceae
Description: partial small subunit ribosomal RNA
Source: RNAcentral
AUGGAUCGGGAGCUGGAGGAGGCGAACUGCAAGUUCGCGUGGCUCAAGCUCGCCUGCGCGGAGUACGAGCUCGACUCCUGCGCCACCCUGCUCUCCGAGCUCAAGGUUCUCCUCACAAAGUUUCCUAGCAUGCCACCAUCAUUUGAGAGGACACCUAAUGCAGUUGCGGAGCUGAGACUCGCAAGGGCCAUAUACGAGUUUGCUGUUAUCUUCAGCAUCAGAGUUAAGGACCAAGAUGCAUUUGAGAGGAACUUCUUCCAAUUAAAAGUUUUCUACAUGGAUACAAGAGGCAUACUCCCACCAUCACCAGAAGAAUAUCGAAUUUUGGGACUUAAUCUUAUGAGACUGUUGGCUGAGAACAGAGUAGCUGAAUUCCACACUGAGCUGGAACUUCUGCCCCCGAGAGCCCUUGACCAUCCUUGCAUCAAAUACGCAGUGGAGCUUGAGCAAUCCUUUAUGGAAGGUACCUACAACCGAUUAACCAAUGGUCGGCAAGCUGUGCCACAUGAGACAUACCUCUACUUCAUGGACCUUCUUGCUGAAACUAUUAGAGAUGAGAUAGCUGAUUGCAGUGGUCAGGCAUACGAUCACUUGCCAGUGGAUGAUGCCAGAAAAAUGCUGAUGUUUUCCUCUGAGCAAAAGCUUCUGGAGCACAUAUCAGAGAUACAACAUGAAUGGGAGGUUCAGAAUCAUUCAGUCCUUUUUCACAUGGCGAAGGUCCAACCCCGUGUCGGCAUACAAGCGCAUCAGAUGAUCAAGCGAUCUCUUUGCUACGCCCGGGAGCUUGAGCGGGUAGUGUAA